AGAGAUAUGUCUCAGUGGUUAAGAGCACUGACUGCUCUUCCAGAGGACCUGAGUUCAAUUCCCAGUAUCUAUG
This 73-nucleotide transfer RNA is filed under the name Neotoma lepida (desert woodrat). It matches the Rfam family "tRNA". Rfam says of the family: Transfer RNA (tRNA) molecules are approximately 80 nucleotides in length. Their secondary structure includes four short double-helical elements and three loops (D, anti-codon, and T loops). Further hydrogen bonds mediate the characteristic L-shaped molecular structure. tRNAs have two regions of fundamental functional importance: the anti-codon, which is responsible for specific mRNA codon recognition, and the 3' end, to which the tRNAs corresponding amino acid is attached (by aminoacyl-tRNA synthetases). tRNAs cope with the degeneracy of the genetic code in two manners: having more than one tRNA (with a specific anti-codon) for a particular amino acid; and 'wobble' base-pairing, i.e. permitting non-standard base-pairing at the 3rd anti-codon position. The record is from Rfam by way of RNAcentral. Lineage: Eukaryota; Metazoa; Chordata; Mammalia; Rodentia; Cricetidae.